RNAcentral lists this long non-coding RNA (1184 nucleotides) under Betta splendens (Siamese fighting fish). RNAcentral's name for it is "lncRNA (ENSBSLG00000023200.1)". The record is from RNAcentral. Lineage: Eukaryota; Metazoa; Chordata; Actinopteri; Anabantiformes; Osphronemidae.
GCUUUACUGUCAUAUUGGAGAUACUGGAGAUAUGGUGAAACACAGGACAAGUGUGCGAUCUACGAAACAUAGAGUAUGUGUUCGUCGGAGGACCAUUGGUGGUGCUACCAAAGUUUCUGUUUUGAGAAACGUUUCACAUCCACCUGUAACUGUGGAUGUUACACCUGUCACCACCACAUCAUCUCUGGAUGAACAUUCAGAGGCAGAACCAAGCAGCAGUUUGCAUGUCCGAGACUGCUUACACAAAAGCAAAGAAGAAGGAGCUCAGGGCCUGGGACUCAUUGAAAGAGGAUAUGCUGCGGGUAUCUUAUGAGUCAUCAGCACCAUCUACAAAUAUCUGUGCUCUCUGCAAAGAGCAUGCAGAGUAUAGGUGCCUUGAGUGCAGCAGUACUAAUAUGUUUUGUGAGACCUGUAUCACAAAAACCCACCGCAAUUCCUUGCACCUACCAGAGAAAUGGAAUAAAACAUUGUAUGUGACAUCUCCGCUUGAAUUAGCACUACGCUUACCAGGAGAACAUUGUUCUCAUGCUGUGUACGCAAGAGAUAUGAAAAUAUUUGUGAACACAGGCCAGCUGUGCAGCUUCAGCGUGACUCUUUGUACAUGUGAACCAGAAACUUGCACCCUGCUCAGAUAUGGAAUCUGGCCUGCGACACCAGAGAGGCCUCAAACAGCGUUCUCUAUAGCUCUUUUGGAGCUUUUUCAUUAUCUGUCCAUGGAAUGCCAGGUGUCUGUUGAGGGAUUCUGCAAUAUGUUGCGGUGGAAAAACAAUCUGUCUCUUUUAGAGGUUAACAUGCUCUACAGAGCUCUGGUGGGAGAAUCUAUAUCCCAGUUUCGCCACCACCACUUUAGAUGCAGAAGUUUAUCUGGUCUUUGUCCCUCAUUUGAUGAUGGAACAACAUGCCCAGUAUGUCCUAAGAGUAACGGCAAUCUGAUUGUAACAAUGGAUGCCAACUUUGGCCUUGUUCGAAAAAGAAGUUCAGGAAGUAGUUUGGUGGAGCCGUUGCAUGGUAACAGAAUGUUUGUGAGGGAAGAAGAUGUGCAAGAAUACCUGUCAUCCCAUCCUGAUGGUUCCAAGCCAAAUGAAGACUGUAGUAAUUCAAGGCAGGGAACCUGCUUCGUUCUCAAAAAAAAACAACAAAAACUAGAUGUAACAGGGGGUGUUUGGAGUCUCUUGCCGCCAUGA